This 408-nucleotide ribosomal RNA is filed under the name uncultured bacterium. RNAcentral describes it as "partial 16S ribosomal RNA". It matches the Rfam family "Bacterial small subunit ribosomal RNA", at positions 28 to 526 of the family's 1533-position model. The record is from RNAcentral.
GACGAACGCUGGCGGCGUGCCUAAUACAUGCAAGUCGACCUUAGGGGCGAACGGGUGAGUAACACGUGGGUAACCUGCCCAUAAGAAGGGGAUAACAAUUGGACACAGGUGCUAAUACCGUAUAGUGAUGGAUGGACCCGCGGUGCAUUUGCGAGGUGGGAAGGUAACGGCUCACAAAGGCCACGAUGCAUAGCCGCGCUGAGAGGGUGAUCGGCCAUAUUGGGACGGAGACACUGCCCAAACUCCUACGGGAGGCAGCAGUAGUGAAUCUUCGGCAAUGGACGAAAGUCUGACCGAGCAACGCCGCGUGAGUGAAGAAGGUUUUCGGAUCGUAAAACUCUGUGGUUAGAGAAGCGGUAUCUAACCAGAAAGCCACGGCUAACUACGUGCCAGCAGCCGCGGUAAUUC